GGCCUACGGGACGCAGCAGUGAGGAAUAUUGGUCAAUGGGCGGAAGCCUGAACCAGCCAAGUCGCGUGAGGGAAGAAGGCCCUGCGGGUCGCAGACCUCUUUGGACGGGGAGCAAGGCCGCCGACGUGUCGGCGGAAGGAGAGUACCCGUAGAACAAGCAUCGGCUAACUCCGUGCCAGCAGCCGCGGUAAUACGUAGGUGGCAAGCGUUGUCCGGAUUUACUGGGUGUAAAGGGCGUGUAGCCGGGUUGACAAGUCAGAUGUGAAAUCCUGCGGCUUAACCGCAGAACUGCAUUUGAAACUGUU
This 305-nucleotide ribosomal RNA is filed under the name uncultured bacterium. RNAcentral's name for it is "bacterial SSU rRNA". It matches the Rfam family "Bacterial small subunit ribosomal RNA", at positions 335 to 637 of the family's 1533-position model. The record is from RNAcentral.